RNAcentral lists this ribosomal RNA (83 nucleotides) under uncultured bacterium. RNAcentral's name for it is "partial 16S ribosomal RNA". The record is from RNAcentral.
ACCGCCCGUCGCUUCAUCGAAGUGGUUUUAGGCGAGGUGGUGCGAUAUUGGCAUUAUCGAACCUGAGAUCAGCAACGAGGGAG